Molecule: long non-coding RNA, 1226 nt
Filed under: Nicotiana benthamiana
Lineage: Eukaryota; Viridiplantae; Streptophyta; Magnoliopsida; Solanales; Solanaceae
Description: long non-coding RNA (NBEN_LNC034193)
Source: RNAcentral
CAAUUUCUUCAUCUUUACUCGUCAACAGCUUGUUCAUCUUUUCAAUAUUCUUUGGUGAGACCUCAUCUAAAAUCUUCAUCAAUUCACAAUCUUUGUUUGCUCCAGAUUUCGCUAAUGCUUGCAUGAUAUCAUGCUCAAUUCUUAGGACUUCGUCUUUCAAUUGCAUUUGGGAUGAUUCCCUGGCUUGGAGAUCCUUCUGCAAAAGAUCUAAUUGCUCACCAAGUUUAUUUACACGAACUUCAUGUUCCUUCAAUGAACUGUUUUUGUCAUCCAACUCUUUCAAAAGUGCCAAACACUGAAGCUGUGCAGAUUGAGCUGAUGCAGCACUUGCAUCUGCAGUUGCUUGAGUAGCAGAAAGCUGUGAUCUAAGAUCAUCCAACUGCUUGAGAUACUGAAUCGCAUUCAGAACUUAAAUUAAUUAACUGCUUACAAAUAUCCAAGGAAAAAAGAGUACUGCAUUAUGUUAUUCUUAAGUGGAUUUAUUACUGGUACAAGAUCACAUUCAGAACUUAUUUUAUUAACUGCUUACAAAUACAACAAAAACAUACCCAGUAUAAUCCCACAUAGUGGGAAACUGCUUACAAAUAUCCAACGAAAAAAACUACAGCAUUAUGUUAUUCUUAAGUGGAUUAAUUACUGUUACAAGUCUCAAUAAUACAUAAAUGUAACUGAAUGAGCACAACGUAGUCAUGUUUAAACGAGUUUUGAAGUUUAAAAGGUUCUAUCUACCAGUGUCUUUCCUGACAGGGUCUUCCUCGAACUGACACAAAAUAUAAACUAAAAAUAGAAUUGGGUAGCAAAUAUUGGAGGAAGCGAGAUCGUGAGAACUGGGCAAACAGUAUCAGCUUGAACUCAAGCUAAAAGCAGAAACAAGAGAAUUUAUGCUCUAGAAAAUUGAAAUGAAGAAAAAAAAAACAUGCUAGUCUCCAAUAACUACAACUUCAACCACCCCAAAAUAAAGAAAAUAGAAAUUAUGAAAGAAAUGUAAGAAGCUAAACCCAAUCAGGCCAAAAGGCAUACAGACAAUUUAAUGAUUCCAUUCAACUGCUUCAAUUGAUAAUUUAUGCAUAUUAUUCCGGCUGUGCAGUAAUUUUCUUUCUUUGCAUUGAGGAUCGUUAUUUCUGCGGGAUUACUUAUGCGUUAUUAUUUUGUUUUGUCUUGCUUUGGUUCCUAAUUUUGUCUUUGUUCCAAUGCAGCUUUCCAUUUUAUCCUAUGCGCCGAGGNNN